UUCGUCGCCAGAGCAUAGCAUUCGGCGAAGCGUGCUAGCAGCAGCGGCGAGUAAUUGGGAGAGGCAUGAAUCACAUCGCCCCGCAGCGGGGAGCUGGCUCUCGGAUGAUGGUGGAUUCCCUCAUAAUUCCGGGGGCAAUAAUGGAACGCGACCGGAUGGUUGUACUUGGCAUCGUCGGCGUCUGAUGAGUGCUGCCGGAAAGCUUGAGGGCUUUAAGCUAGGUGGCCACCAUCUUUUUCCUGUGGGUUACGUUACGUUACGCAGCGCACGGGCGGGCACAAGCACAUGCUUAGUGGCGGGGAGGGGAGGCCGGCCGCCUAUGGCCGCCGGGAUUAGUGGAGCGGAGAGGCCACGCAACGGCGCGGCCCUACAGCCACCCCGCGCCCUGCUUUGCCUUGCUUUGCUUCGUGGCCAAUGGCCUCGGGCGCUCGGCAGAUUCCUCUCUAUCCCAUGGCUUGUUCCUGCGCCCGGUCCUUUUCUCUCCUACGCCGCUGCUGCGUCUGCCGUCUGC
RNAcentral lists this long non-coding RNA (511 nucleotides) under Setaria italica (foxtail millet). RNAcentral's name for it is "long non-coding RNA (SITA_LNC004138)". Lineage: Eukaryota; Viridiplantae; Streptophyta; Magnoliopsida; Poales; Poaceae. The record is from RNAcentral.